UGGCUAACUCUCAAGAACCAAUCCUUCUUUCCUCAGAUCUAGAGAAAAGUUCUCGGCUCUGAAAGGGAUUCUGUUUGUUUCUGCGUUGAUAAGAUUGGUGGGAUCUGGAUCCCCUAAUGGACCAAGGCAUUGGAGGUGUGGCUGAUCGGUAGGAUGACAAUUUUAUUGGACAGAUCCUAAUGGUUUUGAAGGAAAAAAGAAGAACAAAAAAAGGGGAAAAAUGUUCAGUAAAAUAAAGUGCGGAUGAACCAGGACA
Molecule: long non-coding RNA, 256 nt
Filed under: Sorghum bicolor (sorghum)
Lineage: Eukaryota; Viridiplantae; Streptophyta; Magnoliopsida; Poales; Poaceae
Description: long non-coding RNA (SBIC_LNC003018)
Source: RNAcentral